CCUACGGGAGGCAGCAGUGAGGAAUAUUGGUCAAUGGACGAGAGUCUGAACCAGCCAAGUAGCGUGAAGGAUGACUGCCCUAUGGGUUGUAAACUUCUUUUAUAAGGGAAUAAAACGUUCCACGUGUGGGAUUUUGUAUGUACCAUAUGAAUAAGGACAGGCUAACUCCGUGCCAGCAGCCGCGGUAAUACGGAGGAUCCGAGCGUUAUCCGGAUUUAUUUGGUUUGAAGGGAGCGUAGGUGGAUUGUUAAGUCAGUUGUGAAAGUUUGCGGCUCAACCGUAAGAUUGCAGUUGAAACUGGCAGUCUUGAGUACAGUAGAGGUGGGCGGAAUUCGUGGUGUAGCGGUGAAAUGCUUAGAUAUCACGAAGAACUCCGAUUGCGAAGGCAGUUCACUGGACUGCAACUGACACUGAGGCUCGAAAGUGUGGGUAUCAAACAGGAUUAGAUACCCGGGUAGUC
RNAcentral lists this ribosomal RNA (460 nucleotides) under uncultured bacterium. Its description in RNAcentral is "partial 16S ribosomal RNA". It matches the Rfam family "Bacterial small subunit ribosomal RNA", at positions 338 to 795 of the family's 1533-position model. The record is from RNAcentral.